This is a long non-coding RNA of Mobula hypostoma (lesser devil ray), 1817 nucleotides long. RefSeq lists it as uncharacterized. The transcript has 3 exons. NCBI's taxonomy places the organism in Eukaryota, Metazoa, Chordata, Chondrichthyes, Myliobatiformes, Myliobatidae. The record is from RefSeq and is a predicted model, not a curated record.
CAGAUACCGGUAGCUUCAGUGGCAGAGCUGUACUUUUGGCUCUAUUGUUGUCCCUAUAUUAUAUAUUAAGAUAGUCUGUUCCAUUUGGGAACCCGCAUCACUUUUGUAAACAGGAAAUAGUUGAGCGAAUUGUCCUCUGAUCCUUAGGCGAAGUUACUGAAGUUUAUUUGAGAGAUUUACUCUAUAGUUUUGAGAUAGGAGUCUUGGCACGCUCAAUACUGUAUUUUAUUUUUUAAAAAGAGUUGGAUCGGAGUGUCAAGCUGUAGACUGCAUUCUCCUGCAAAAACGCCAUACGCUGCGAUCUAAUCAAAUUCCUCCAGUCCCAUAAAUCAGGUGAUGUCCUUGCUUGCUGUGGCAAUGGCCAGCCCUACCGAUUAGUUGGCUUUGCGCUGUAGGUGCGUUUCAUCCGUGCGGGAUAGUGAAAUGCUUCGGUCUGAGAUGAAGAUUCGACCCUCGGCUCUCUCACUACGCGCCGUGACCCUGGCGCUCCAUGUCGUAGCGUGAUACGCGAUAUGGGUGUCAGAAACACUGGAAGGAAUGGAUUUCGGUCCGAUUUUAGACUGUGUGAAAUAGCAAUUGGAUAAUUCAAUGUUCCUUCAAAGAUGACAAAAAAAUCUUAUAAAAUCUCUCAAAAUCGCCUUUCUGGGAUUAAGCCUAGUUGCAACGUUAAUACGUUCAGUUGUGAUGAUAUGCGAUUUACAAAGAUAACGGCUUGUCAACAAAAUUCACGAAUGCAGAACGUCUAGUGAUGCACUACUUUAUUGGAACCAGAGGUGGCGCCACGGCCCUAAAAACUAGACAGAAUCUCUGCACGGUGAGCGAGGAAGGCUGGUGUGUGACGGUGUCAACCACUGACCCAUCAAGAAUCACAACACGAGGAACUCACCUCCCCCAAGAUAUGCUUCAUUCGUUUGCUGGACUGGUUUUUAAAACAGAAAAAAACGUGAGCACGCUUCUUUUUUUUCGGUGCACGGUCUUUUCCUUUUUAUGGUUGAGCGAGAGCAUCUCUGAAAAACCUAAACUGAGGAAAAAGUUGCACGAAAAGACCCUCUUUUUCUUUUUAUCUCCACGGAAAAUAUGUCGUUUGACUUUUAUCGAGUGCUAUGCGGUGGGGAUAACUUUAAAAAAAGAUUUUUUUCAGCAUGAGAAGAAAGUUGAAAUGAUCUGCAGUGAAACGUACCUUCGUCGUCCAGCAUGCAAUAAACUGAAUCCAGCUGCGGAGAACUGCUCUGGAUUUAGUCGAGAAAUUAUAAUUAGAUUUCAAAUCACCGAAAUACAGUGUUCCGAAAUGCUUUGCAUUGCAUUUGUUGUUAUAGUUCGUUAAAAGGUUCACAUGAGCAAUUUAUUGGACUGAUAAAACACUAACACGUUUCUGACAAACCAACAUAAUGUAUUUUUAUUACUUGAACCGUUUAAAACUAAUACAUAUCAGCAUUUAAAUAUAUUUGCAUUUCAGAAUGUGCAACAGAAUUUAUGAAAAUAACGCGUUAAAACUGAGAUGGAUACAAUGCUUAUGUUCACGGAUUUCAUAUAAAACAAUUACGUUUCUUACAUAUUCUGUAUUAGAAGUCAGUCCUAUGUUAUAUAUACGUGUCGCUGGAUACAACUGUAGUAUGCUUGAGCAAUCUUGCAAGAAUUCGAAUUAAUCCUUUACUUUCCAAUUAAGAUAGAAUAAUCAUAGUUGAUGCUUUAAGGUGGGGGGGGGACACGUUUUUGCUUUUCCGUGUUACCAAAUAGUUUACUUUUAAGGGGGUUACUUUAAAAAAAAACUUAGAUAACAUGGACUAAAGAUCAUAAGGAUGCUUAUCUGAAAAUAA